GAUAUUAUUUUUGCAAACGUAGAAACAUAAGUAAACAAAUUUCUGCAAGAGACAAGAGCAUUUAAACUAAAAAAAUGCUGAAGCUGGCAAUUUUUUGUUCUGUGGGAAUUUUCAUUUUUAAAAUAACAUCAACGGAAUAUCUUGUAAAAACAUCCCCGACGACUACCAAAAUAGUGACAAUAUACGAAGUUACGUUAUCGUAGCUAUGAAGCGCCAAUUUGAAAUUAGAACAAAAGAGGUUUAUAUAACUAACUGAUUGUCUUCUUGAAUUAUUCUUAAACUUUAAUACGCUGAUCAAUAUUAAAUGAUGAUAUAUACUUCUCGUGAAUAAUCUUACUUGCGAGAAUUACUUAAAUUACUGCGGAGAAGAAUACAAGUCACCUAAUUAUAAUACAACGUAUUUCAGAAAUUUAUGUGAGGUCGGUAUCAAAGGUUACUUGUGUGACAAUGCCAAGGAUGGCGAACCUCUUGCCAAGUUAUACGAUAAAACUUCGGGUUAUAUUAAUGACGAUGCAGCAACGGAACACUAUAAAAACACUGUAUGGAGAUUAUGUAGUCAAUGAACAAAUCAGAAAUUCCGGUAUCGCAGUUAUGAAGAGAGUAUUUGAAAACAAAAUAAAAGAGUUUUUUAUUAUAAUUGAUUUAAUACCUUUUCAUACCAUUUUUUAAAUUUAAUAAGUAUAGCAAAAUUAAAUAUAUAUUUUUUUCGUUGUAGGAGAACCUUACUUGCGAGAAUUACUUGAGUUACUGCACUAAAGAUAAGCCGUCUGAUUAUGAAACGUCGAUUUUUUAAAUUUUGUGUGAGGUCAGCAUCAAAGGUUAUUUGUGCAACAAUGUAAAGGAUGGCGAAGCUUUUGCACAGUUAUACGAUAAAGUGUCAGGCUACAUAUACGAUACCACAAGAAGACACGGAGCUUUCAGUCCUACAACCACCACACCAUAAACCGAAUAGUUAAUUCAUUUCUUACAAUUUAUACUGUGAAAUUAUUAGCUUGUAAGAAUAUGAAAACGAAAUCAAUUUAGUUUGAUUCAAAUGACGUGAAUAAAGCAUGAAAACUUACCCACAUACGUCAUGUGUCUGAAUUUACAUAUCAAAAACAAAUAGCUAGUUGAUAGUUAAUUUUGUAUCUUCAAUUGUAAGAAAAUUUUCUGAAUCGCCAAGUUUUGAGCUGUUGUGAGGAACGUAGCAUUAAUUGUAUUAUAUAAACAUUUUUCCCUAUUUUUCUGCACGUGACAAAUAAACUAUUUGAAAUACAAAUACACAAGUGUUGAAAAAAUGCAGAGGUAUAUGUGGAAAAACUUCUGCAAGAGAAAACAACAUUGAAUAAAAAUGUUGAAGUUGGCAAUUUUUUGCGUCUUUGGAUAUUUCAUUUCCAUUGUAACGGCAAUAGUGAGUAAUUGUUUUAAACUUUUGAACAUCGGCUGGCAAUUAUGUAGUCAAUGAAACAACUAGAGCCUCUGGUAUAGCAGCUAUGAAGAACUUAUAUGAAGUUAGAACAAAAGAGAAUAAUCUCACUCGUGAGAAUCACUUGGAUUACUGCAUUCAAGAUAAGUCGCCUUACUACGAAACGUCGUUCUUCAGAGUUUUGCGCGAGAUCGGUAUAAAAAAUUACUUGUGCGACAAUGCAAAGAAGUUUCGGGCUACAUCUACAAUACCGCAAGAGGACACGGACCAUUCGGCCCUCCAGCGACUACUCCAGCACCACCUCCCACCAAGUCAUCCUCCGACUACGAUUAAUAAUUAAUUAAUUUCUGCAACCACAAUGUCGCGGCGUCCGUUCAAUAAAUUACAAAAACAAUUCA
Molecule: RNA transcript, 1803 nt
Organism: Nasonia vitripennis (jewel wasp)
Lineage: Eukaryota; Metazoa; Arthropoda; Insecta; Hymenoptera; Pteromalidae
Exons: 10
Source: RefSeq, a predicted model, not a curated record